UUGUGACAAUUCUUGGAGGUC
Molecule: non-coding RNA, 21 nt
Filed under: Rattus norvegicus (Norway rat)
Lineage: Eukaryota; Metazoa; Chordata; Mammalia; Rodentia; Muridae
Source: RNAcentral